RNAcentral lists this transfer RNA (68 nucleotides) under Marmota monax (woodchuck). RNAcentral describes it as "tRNA.Ala". The record is from RNAcentral. Lineage: Eukaryota; Metazoa; Chordata; Mammalia; Rodentia; Sciuridae.
GGACUAUGGCUCAGUGGUACAGCACUUGCCUAGCAUGUGCGAGGCCCUGGGUUCGAUCCUCAGCACCA